GGUCUGAGAUGGAAAGCCUGGGAGUAACUGACCCCCAACUACAUGGUCUUAAACUCCUACGGAUUUAUUUUCUUAAUAAGAAGGCUGGAGAUGGCCUGUUGACAGCACUGCUUUGGUGUCUUGAAGAUAUCAGGAUAGCUGAAAUUCUCUUGUUUCCUUUUCUUCAUGAGCUCAAGAUAAGUGUGGCAGCUCCAGCCACACAUCUGUCUCAACGGGGGAGAAGAAGAUAGGGUGGAAUGCCAAAAGGCUACCCAUAAGUUGAGUCGACACUAACGUAAAACACUCCAGGUGCAGAGAAGGAAAGUGAUUAGCCCGAUUCUGUGGAGGAGAGACGUCACCAGCCUGGGAUUAUACAUCAGGAAGGUCUCCAGGGCCACAGCCUUCACCACCAUAUAUCUCCAGAAUUCUUAAAAUUACAAGGUGAAAACUGUCCCCAUUGGACACUAAUUAUUUCCACCCCUGGGAACCACAUUCUAUUUUCCAUACCUGUGAAUAUGCCUCUUCCUGGCCCCUCCUACGAGGGGAAUCAAACAGCAUUUUUCUUCUUGUGACUGGCUUAUUUCACUUCGCAUCCUGCCCUCAGGCUUCGCCCAUGUUGACGCAUGUCUCAGAAUUUCUUUUUUUUUAAUAUUUCGUCGUGUGCAUCCGUUCAUUCUUUUGUGGACACUUGGGUUGCUUCCACCCCUCGGCUCUGGUGAUGAGUGUAGCUGUGAGCCUGAGCCCACGAAUAUUUCCGAGACCCUGCUGUCAAUACCUGUCGGUACAGACCCAGAGGUGAAAUUGUGGGAUUCAUCAUGGAGUGCCAUCUAUUCUGUGCCAUUUGUGUGAUAAAUGUCACUCUCUCCUAGUAAACAGUGAAUCCCUGGAGGAGAGACCUGAUUUCUAUCCCUGGUACAGGAACCGGCCUGCCUCCUGCCCAUUUUAGCAACCACGUGGUUCAGGAAAGCACUUGGCACAUAGUACAUAUGCAUCAAAUAUUUUUGAAGGAGUAACUCAAAGAAUGAAAUUAGUAGUAGUUGAAUGGAAAACUAGUGAAAGAAUUUCAUAAGGUCUAAAGCAAGGUCCACAAACUACAAGUGCAUCUAGCCAGCUGCCUGUGUUUUAUGUGGCUCCUGAGAAGAAUAACCAUUACAGAUGCACAUUUGCAGUCUGAUAAUAGGGAGCACUCACUUUGAACCCCAAUUAAUAUAAAUGUUAUCUCACCCAGAAGAUUUCCAUUCUUCCUCAUUAGUAGGCCAGUAUUAUAAAAAAUUCCACUGAAUUGUUGUUACUUAUUUUGAAUUUUAUCGACAUCAAAUUUGAGGCUAUGGUUUGCCCUUGUGUUGUAUAAGUAUUUCAAUGUUGCCCCUUGUCCCACAAAGCUUGGAAUAUUUGGUGUUUGGCUUUGUAUUGGAAAAGCUGGCUGACCACUGCUCCAAGGUGUUAACUCAAUAACAAUAUUGCUGUUAUUACCAUUCUACACUGUGACAGACUGGGAAAUUUAAAACUAUAGACAUGUUUUGGGCACACUUGUCUGAUUAA
This is a long non-coding RNA of Ictidomys tridecemlineatus (thirteen-lined ground squirrel), 1521 nucleotides long. RefSeq lists it as uncharacterized. Lineage: Eukaryota; Metazoa; Chordata; Mammalia; Rodentia; Sciuridae. The record is from RefSeq and is a predicted model, not a curated record.